CGCCGGCCCUCGGCGGGUCUCGCGCUAUCUGCUGUGGCCAAUGGGACUCCCCGCAGUCUAGAGAGCCGCGUCGCUGGAGCGGUGGCGCAGCUUUUGGCUCGGAGAAUCCUGAGGAAAUUAAAUCAAAGCCUUAUGCUCUCCUAUAACUUCAUCCUUUUGAAAAAUUGGAACUACCAGAAUAGUUUCUACAUUGUGACAUGACCAUUGUGAUGGGUUGAGUUUCCACUUUUUGAAAGCUAAUGAAAAAAGUGUGCAUAAUUGGAGAAACAACCUGUGAGAAGGAAAAAAAUUUGCACAGCAAGGACAAGAUUGCUGUUGCUAAUCUAUAGUACAAACAGUAUGGCCUUCGGCUUCUGGGUGAACUGCAUCUGCACACUACUGCAGCCAUCAGCUCCUGGGUGAAAUGCAUCUGCACACUACUGCAGCCAUCAGUUCCUAGAUGAAAUGCAUCUGCACUUUACUGCAUUUAUCAGCUCCUGGGUGAAAUGCAUCUGCACUUUACUGCAGCCAUCAGCUCCUGGGUGAAAUGCAUCUGCACAUUACUGCAGCCAUCAGCUCCUGGGUGAAAUGCAUCUGUACUUUACUGCAGCUAUCAGCUCCUGGGUGAAAUGCAUCUGUACUUUACUGCAGCCAUCAGCUCCUGGGUGAAAUGCAUUUGCACUUUACUGCAGCCAUCAGCUCCUAGAUGAAAUGCAUCUGCACACUACUGCAGCCAUCACUUGGCACUGUCAGUGUUUGGUUUUUUGUUUUUUUAUUUCUGCUGUUACAGGAGAGAUAGAGUGGCAUCUUACAGUGGACUUAAUCUACAUUUCUCUUCCAAUGAUGAUUCUUUUCUCUAAUGAAGAAAUGAGAACCUGUAUUUGCUUCUCUAUAGAUACUUACAACAAUUUUGUUUGUCACCACCACCAAAACUGGAAUCAACUCAGGUCAAUUGGACAAUACAGUUUCAAAAGCUCCAACUUAUGAACAAAACUAACUUGGGACCUCUGUUUUAAUCCAGAAAAAUAUGUAAAUAUAUAAAAAUUAUCACAUAAGAAUAAAAAUUCAUACAUUAGAUUACAUUGUGAAAAGAUGCUUUAGAAAUGUGGCCACAAAGAAGAUUAAAAUGGUAAUCUUAAGUAUUUUAGCUCAGAGAAAUUGUAGUAAAGGUGAAAUCUUUUUUGUUGUUGUGCUCUGAUUUGUAUGUUUUGUAGCUGAGGCUGGCUGGAUGUGAUUCUCCUGGCUAUCUCCAUAAUGCUAGAACUACACGUGUGAGCUACUAUGUCUCGUUUAAGUUUAAAUCUUUUAAAGAAACAGUAAAGCAGAAAAAAGGGGAUCUCAGAAGUAAUAUAGCUACACCUUACCAGAAUAACAAGUGAGGGCUGAUGGAACUCAUGGAGUGUUUGAGAAAAGGAGGCAUUUUUAGUGACAAAUUAGAAAAUGGAAAAUACGAACCACAGAUGGCACAAUAAGAGAAAAAGGAGAAAUAAGAACUCAAUAUCUUUUUAAAAGCUUGCGGCAUGGUAGUGCAGACCUUUAAUCCCAAAGCCUGGAGGCAGAGGCAGGCGGAUCUCUCUGUGAGUUCCAAACAAGUCAGGGACAUAUUCUUAAAAAAAAAAAAAAGACAGGAGAGGCAGCCAAAUAGUUUUUCUCAUGUGAACUGAAGUUCAAUGGUGGUUGUAUAACAUUGUACUUAAUGCCAGUAGAUUGAAAGCUUAAAAAUGGCCUAAAUGGUAAACUUUGUGCUCAUUUUGUCAUAAUAAACCCUGUAAAGUAAAGCAUUGAACUACAACAACUGUCAAGCUACAGUUCCUGAACACUCAACACUAAAGAAGGAUAAAGGCUGGCUCUGCUGAAAGGCACCCCAAGAUCUGGAACUCAGCCCAGAGCACUUAAUACUGAGAUGUAGUAUUGUAAAAAUGGUUGGAUUUUAAAAUCAUGGAAAAAAAAAAAAAGCUCAAGUGGAUUGGAAAAAUAGCACAUGGAUUUGAUGUUUUGGGCAGCUACAUUUCAUUCUAGAUAAUAAAGCAACAGUUUAAAAAACUAUUAAAUGAAAUGCAAUUAUUCAUAUCACCAGACUGUCCUUUAAGAACUUGAGGACAUUGCUAUGUAUGGUGGCAUGCCUAUAAUCUUAGCACUUAGGAGCCUGAGGUAGAUGGAUCAGAGUUCAAGGUCAUCCUCUAUUAAAUAGUAAGUUCCUGGUCAACGUGGUCUACCAAAAGGUUCAGUCACAAAACAAUUUAAGGAUUAUUGUUUCAGUGCUUCCUGAAGGAAUAUACUAGUGAAAAAAUUUCAAACAGUAAAUGAUUCAGGAAAUGUUCAACAUAAAAUCAAGUUGUAAACAUUAAAUAUAUUGUAAUGAUGGGAAUAAUGGUUUUAGAGUUAUGCUAUCUGACAAUGUAGAAAAAAUAUGACCCACUGUCAGGAAGUCUGUUUUAGAGGAAAUAAAGGUACUGCCCCCGAG
Molecule: long non-coding RNA, 2443 nt
Filed under: Cricetulus griseus (Chinese hamster)
Lineage: Eukaryota; Metazoa; Chordata; Mammalia; Rodentia; Cricetidae
Description: lncRNA (ENSCGRG00015038506.1)
Source: RNAcentral